Helianthus annuus (common sunflower) is the source of this 1553-nucleotide RNA transcript. RefSeq lists it as uncharacterized. The transcript is spliced from 4 exons. Lineage: Eukaryota; Viridiplantae; Streptophyta; Magnoliopsida; Asterales; Asteraceae. The record is from RefSeq and is a predicted model, not a curated record.
ACAGCCGACACCAUCUUUCCAUCUUGUUUUCCUCCCAUCUUUUCUCUGCACUUUGUUUUAGAGAAACCCUAAAACACCUCCUCUCGAUCUCUACCUGCAUACACAAGGAGAAAUGACAAACAUUCUUUCACAUGUUACUCACACACCUCUCGAUCUCUCUCAUCUUUCUCUCAAUAAUCUGUGACCGAAACCCAGGGACCUCCGGCGGCUGAAGAGAUUAUGGCGGUGGAGGCGGUGGGUGCACGGCGGUGCGCGGCGGUGGAGGGGUGCACGGCGGUGGUGGUCUCAACGGAGCGACAAACCGCACCCCUUCCUUCCUUUCCCGAUCGUUCUCCUGGACCGACGACCCGAAACAGAACCGGCAGCCUCCGCCUUGUUUCUUUUUCUGACAAAGAUAGCGGUGACGGGGGUUCGAGUAACGGUAGAGGUCCCCGGCGGCAUCAGGUUAGAAGUGGUGGUGGAGCGGAUGCGGUUGAUGAUAUCGACGCUGGUGGUGGCGGCCGGCAACGGCAGGACGGCGGAGCCGUUGGGAUACUGGCUGACGGCGCGGCAGUGGCGAUGUUAUUUUGGGUCUCAGUUUAGUAAUGGUUCAGAUGUUGAAGUCCGAUGUUUGGGUCAAGGAUCGGUCAACCUAAGUCAACAACAGUCAACCGUAGUCAUUGACAGUUAUCUCGGGUCAACAAUGCGGACCGGUUCAGUUUCAGUCAAAAGAAAAUUGGUUUAUUUCGAGUUCGGCUCAGUGAAGUAUUUACUCGGUUAGAGUUCUGAUUAAACACGGUUCGACUCGGUCGACUCAACUGGUCAACUCAGUCGACGCUAAGACCCGGAAUGCUCUAGUUGCACGCUAGCACACGUUCUUGGAACGACACUACGGAAUCACGCUAGGCUAGCUUUGCACAGGAAUGUCAAGGUUGCAUUUUUCAAAACUACGGAACGGUUGGAAUAGGAGAACCCACGGGAUUUCGAGUACCUAGCAGGCGUUCACUGUUUAGAAGUCUUAGCUUUUUGCUUCCGUUGUGCAAUGAAGAUACCGGUCCAGUCAUGCCAGCUCUGAUAUUUCGGGGUGUGACAACCAUAUGGUGGUCUAGUCACAAUCCUCACAGGCUCAUUCAUUGUUUUCUUCCCCUACACAUUUUAAGAUGCACUUUGUGACUAUGCAAGGAAUUACGUGAUUAUGGAUGCAUACAUAAUUAUGAAGUUCAGUGCACGGAAACCACAGUGAGACUUAUUAUGUGUAAGAACCGAUAGUGACAACCAUAACGAAAUGCGAACAAUGUAAUAGAGGUACGGUGGACGCACCAAUGACGCUUUAUAUACUUGUAUAGAAGUAUCCCUCUCACACUACAAGCAUGAUGUUAUUGUAAAGUUACUAGAAGUUCAGGACUCUAACCAGUAUUGUUUAAUCUUUUCAACCUCAUGUUUCAAGCUCUCACAAGUUUCCUCUAAAUAAAUUUCGGGACGAAAUUUCCACACGUAUGGGAGACUGUAACAUUUGUGCUUGAAAUCAUUGUGAACAGUUCAGUUAUCAAUAAAACAAAGUUAUUUGAUCCCAA